UACGUAGGGGGCAAGCGUUGUCCGGAUUUAUUGGGCGUAAAGAGCGUGUAGGCGGCCAAGCAGGUCCGCUGUGAAAACUCGAGGCUCAACCUCGAGACGUCGGUGGAAACCGUUUGGCUAGAGUCCGGAAGAGGAGAGUGGAAUUCCCGGUGUAGCGGUGAAAUGCGCAGAUAUCGGGAAGAACACCCGUGGCGAAGGCGGCUCUCUGGGCUCUACCUGACGCUGAGGCGCGAAAGCGUGGGGAGCGAACCGG
Molecule: ribosomal RNA, 253 nt
Filed under: uncultured bacterium
Lineage: Bacteria
Description: partial 16S ribosomal RNA
Rfam family: Bacterial small subunit ribosomal RNA
Source: RNAcentral